RNAcentral lists this ribosomal RNA (465 nucleotides) under uncultured bacterium. RNAcentral describes it as "partial 16S ribosomal RNA". It matches the Rfam family "Bacterial small subunit ribosomal RNA", at positions 28 to 507 of the family's 1533-position model. The record is from RNAcentral.
GAUGAACGCUGGCGGCGUGCUUAACACAUGCAAGUCGAACGGAAAGGCUCCUGCUUGCAGGGGUACUCGAGUGGCGAACGGGUGAGUAACACGUGGGUGAUCUGCCCUGCACUUCGGGAUAAGCCUGGGAAACUGGGUCUAAUACCGGAUAGGACCACAUUUUGGAUGGUGUGGUGGAAAGUAUUUCGGUGUGGGAUGAGCUCGCGGCCUAUCAGCUUGUUGGUGGGGUAAUGGCCUACCAAGGCGUCGACGGGUAGCCGGCCUGAGAGGGUGUACGGCCACAUUGGGACUGAGAUACGGACCAGACUCCUACGGGAGGCAGCAGUGGGGAAUAUUGCACAAUGGGCGCAAGCCUGAUGCAGCGACGCCGCGUGGGGGAUGACGGCCUUCGGGUUGUAAACUACUUUCGCUAGGGACGAAGCGCAAGUGACGGUACCUGGAGAAGAAGCACCGGCUAACUACGUG